GAUGAACGCUGGCGGCGCGCCUAACACAUGCAAGUCGAACGAUUAAAGCACCUUCGGGUGUGUAUAAAGUGGCGAACGGCUGAGUAACACGUGGGCAACUUGCCCCUUUCAUUGGGUUAGGUCCGGGAACGCGUGGUAAAUACCGAAUACUUCGAGACUUCCGCAUGGGAGAUCCGAGAACGUCCCGGUGGGGGGGGAUGGGCGGGCGGCUUGUUAGCCUGUUGGGGGGGUAACGGCCUACCACGGCAAUGAUGGGUAGCUGGGUGUAGAAACCGACCAGCCAGAUGAGGACUGAGACACGGCCCAGACUCCUACGGGAGACAGCAGUGGAGAAUCUUGCACAAUGAGCGAAAGCCUGAUGCAGCGACGCCGCGUGCGUGAUGAAGGCCUUCGGGUUGUAAACCGCUGUCAGCAAGGACGAGGCGAAAGUGACGGUACCUGCAGAAGAAGCCCCGGCUAACUACGUG
RNAcentral lists this ribosomal RNA (467 nucleotides) under uncultured bacterium. RNAcentral describes it as "partial 16S ribosomal RNA". It matches the Rfam family "Bacterial small subunit ribosomal RNA", at positions 28 to 507 of the family's 1533-position model. The record is from RNAcentral.